AACGUAGGGGGCGAGCGUUGUCCGGAAUUACUGGGCGUAAAGGGCGCGUAGGCGGUUUUUCAAGUCAGGGGUGAAAACUCUGGGCUCAACUCAGAGCCUGCCUCUGAAACUGGAAGACUUGAGGGCAGGAGAGGGGAGUGGAAUUCCCAGUGUAGCGGUGAAAUGCGUAGAUAUUGGGAGGAACACCAGUGGCGAAGGCGACUCUCUGGCCUAACCCUGACGCUGAGGCGCGAAAGCGUGGGGAGCAAACGGGAUUAGAUACCCCGGUAGUCCACGCCGUAAACGAUGGGUGCUAGGUGUAGGAGGUAUCGACCCCUUCUGUGCCGUAGCUAACGCAAUAAGCACCCCGCCUGGGGAGUACGGCCGCAAGGUUGAA
Molecule: ribosomal RNA, 376 nt
Filed under: uncultured Bacillota bacterium
Lineage: Bacteria; Bacillati; Bacillota
Description: bacterial SSU rRNA
Rfam family: Bacterial small subunit ribosomal RNA
Source: RNAcentral